GGAAGAAGCAGAUGGGGCAGCGCAGCUUGUCCCAGGGCUUUGGUGCCUCUCUGACCUGCCUGUCGGGGCAUCCCUGGGGACUGAGGCUGUGGUGGCUGGUCGAGUUGUGUGCUUAUUUAUUGGGCGCUGGGUUGUGAGAGGAGCUAUCUGGCCUUGGGGGCAUCCCGGCCUGUCUUUCAGGACACAUCUUGGUCAAGGCUAUGAUGUUCAACUGAUAGCGCCCUCAGCCCUUGGACACAAGGAGCAGCAAGUGCUGCCUGUCCAGCUGGACUCCCUCCCCAGGCCUGGCUGGGACCAGAGGCCUCAGAAGCCAUCCAGUCCUGUGCUGCUUGGCCAGGCUACGGGUUGCUGACCAGAGUACUUGAGCUGCAGGAUAAACGUGGUGCAUCUUUUAGGGGCAGCUGGGUUUUUUAAGACUUGGGGUAGGGGAGGUUUAAUACUGAAAUAAACAUGGAUAUAUUUUAA
Mustela erminea (ermine) is the source of this 465-nucleotide long non-coding RNA. RefSeq lists it as uncharacterized. The record is from RefSeq and is a predicted model, not a curated record. Lineage: Eukaryota; Metazoa; Chordata; Mammalia; Carnivora; Mustelidae. The transcript has 3 exons.